Molecule: ribosomal RNA, 386 nt
Filed under: Carelis biluma
Lineage: Eukaryota; Metazoa; Arthropoda; Insecta; Lepidoptera; Noctuidae
Description: partial 16S large subunit ribosomal RNA
Source: RNAcentral
UAUAUUGACUGUACAAAGGUAGCAUAAUCAUUAGUCAUUUAAUUGAUGACUUGUAUGAAGGAUUGGAUGAGAUAUAAUCUGUCUCUUAGUUAAUAGGUAGAAUUUAAUUUUUUAAUUAAAAAGUUAAAAUAAUUUAAAAAGACGAGAAGACCCUAUAGAGUUUUAUAGAUAAAUUAAUUAAGAUUAUUUAAAAAAUUUAAAAUUAAAAUUAAAUUAUUUAUUUUAUUGGGGUGAUAGAAAAAUAUAUUUAACUUUUUUUUUUAAUUUAACAUUUAUAGGUGGUUAGAUGAUCCAAUAUUAUUGAUUAUAAGAAAUAAUUACCUUAGGGAUAACAGCGUAAUUUUUUUUUUUAGUUCAUAUAAGAAAAAGAGUUUGCGACCUCGAUG